AGAGUUUGAUCAUGGCUCAGAAUGAACGCUGGCGGCAUGGAUUAGGCAUGCAAGUCGAACGUGCUCCCUUCGGGGAGAAAGUGGCGAAAGGGUGAGUAACACGUGAGCAACCUGCCUCCGGAUCCGGAAUAAUCCAGGGAAACUUGGUCUAAAACCGGAUGAAGACAUUGGUCCGCAUGGUCUAAUGUUAAAAUAUUUAUAGUCCGGAGAGGGGCUCGCGGCCCAUUAGCUUGUUGGCGGGGUAAUGGCCCACCAAGGCUACGACGGGUAGGUGGUCUGAGAGGAUGGUCACCCACACUGGGACUGAGACACUGCCCAGACUCCUACGGGAGGCUGCAGUCGAGAAUCUUCCGCAAUGGGCGCAAGCCUGACGGAGCGAUGCCGCGUGAGGGAUGAAGGCCUUCGGGUUGUAAACCUCUGUCAUCCGGGACGAAAACAAUGACGGUACCGGAAAAGGAAGCCACGGCUAACCACGUGCCAGCAGCCGC
This 488-nucleotide ribosomal RNA is filed under the name uncultured bacterium. RNAcentral describes it as "bacterial SSU rRNA". It matches the Rfam family "Bacterial small subunit ribosomal RNA", at positions 8 to 518 of the family's 1533-position model. The record is from RNAcentral.